GGUGUCAGUUUUGCUUCUGUGGUUUGUUCUGCUUUUCGUUUCCCUGAAGGAGACCCCUGGGCUGUGUUGAGCAUUCUGCCUCCAUUGUGGGUGCAAAGGUUGCCUAUCUGGGUAGGAGCCUGGGCAGCAAGAGUGGACACCCCCCGACUGAUCAAAGCACCUGGCCCCGACGGUGACCUCUGUGGCAGACCCUGGGUGCGGGAGCAUAAAGAUCAACAUGUGGUCGUCAGUUACCAUCUUUGGGAAGUUUGUUUAUUUUGUUUGGAACAUUCAAAGUUAAUAAAAGAAGUACAUUUAAAGUAAAAAGAACAAUUGUUGUCAAAAAAAAAUGGGGGGGGGAUUAACAUGAAACGUUGUGUUGAUGAAUCAUUCUUCUGGCGAUCAGGAUGAUUGAAGUGCGGCCAUGGAUUCUGGAGACAUUUCUGUGGACACUUGAAUCAUCAUAUUUAAUACAUCCGUGAAACACUGAGAGCCGUGUCUUGAUAUGCCCAUGUUGACAGUCAAUCUGUAGCUACAUGUGGGUGUCAGGUCUUUCCUUCUUGUUUUCUCUUUGUCCCUUAG
RNAcentral lists this long non-coding RNA (561 nucleotides) under Ictidomys tridecemlineatus (thirteen-lined ground squirrel). RNAcentral describes it as "lncRNA (ENSSTOG00000031482.1)". The record is from RNAcentral. Lineage: Eukaryota; Metazoa; Chordata; Mammalia; Rodentia; Sciuridae.